RNAcentral lists this ribosomal RNA (449 nucleotides) under uncultured bacterium. RNAcentral's name for it is "bacterial SSU rRNA". It matches the Rfam family "Bacterial small subunit ribosomal RNA", at positions 26 to 468 of the family's 1533-position model. The record is from RNAcentral.
AGGAUGAACGCUAGCGGCAGGCUUAACACAUGCAAGUCGAGGGGUAACAGAGAAAAGCUUGCUUUUUUGCUGACGACCGGCGCACGGGUGCGUAACGCGUAUGCAAUCUACCUUUUGCUAAGGGAUAGCCCAGAGAAAUUUGGAUUAAUACCUUAUAGUAUGAUGACUUGGCAUCAAGAUAUCAUUAAAGGUUACGGCAAAAGAUGAGCAUGCGUUCUAUUAGCUAGUUGGUGUGGUAACGGCAUACCAAGGCAACGAUAGAUAGGGGUCCUGAGAGGGAGAUCCCCCACACUGGUACUGAGACACGGACCAGACUCCUACGGGAGGCAGCAGUGAGGAAUAUUGGACAAUGGAGGCAACUCUGAUCCAGCCAUGCCGCGUGCAGGAAGACUGCCCUAUGGGUUGUAAACUGCUUUUAUACAGGAAGAAACANCUCUACGUGUAGAGAU